CCUACGGGAGGCAGCAGUGGGGAAUUUUGGACAAUGGGCGCAAGCCUGAUCCAGCAAUGCCGCGUGAGUGAAGAAGGCCUUCGGGUUGUAAAGCUCUUUUGUCAGGGAAGAAACGGCUGAGGCUAAUACCUUCGGCUAAUGACGGUACCUGAAGAAUAAGCACCGGCUAACUACGUGCCAGCAGCCGCGGUAAUACGUAGGGUGCAAGCGUUAAUCGGAAUUACUGGGCGUAAAGCGUGCGCAGGCGGUUUUGUAAGUCUGACGUGAAAUCCCCGGGCUCAACCUGGGAAUUGCGUUGGAGACUGCAAGGCUGGAGUCUGGCAGAGGGGGGUAGAAUUCCACGUGUAGCAGUGAAAUGCGUAGAGAUGUGGAGGAACACCGAUGGCGAAGGCAGCCCCCUGGGUCAAGACUGACGCUCAUGCACGAAAGCGUGGGGAGCAAACAGGAUUAGAUACCCUGGUAGUCCACGCCCUAAACGAUGUCUACUAGUUGUCGGGUCUUAAUUGACUUGGUAACGCAGCUAACGCGUGAAGUAGACCGCCUGGGGAGUACGGUCGCAAGAUUAAAACUCAAAGGAAUUGACGG
RNAcentral lists this ribosomal RNA (585 nucleotides) under uncultured bacterium. RNAcentral's name for it is "bacterial SSU rRNA". It matches the Rfam family "Bacterial small subunit ribosomal RNA", at positions 338 to 916 of the family's 1533-position model. The record is from RNAcentral.